This 229-nucleotide ribosomal RNA is filed under the name uncultured bacterium. RNAcentral's name for it is "partial 16S ribosomal RNA". It matches the Rfam family "Bacterial small subunit ribosomal RNA", at positions 568 to 796 of the family's 1533-position model. The record is from RNAcentral.
UGCGUAGGCGGAUUAAUAAGUCAGUAGUGAAAUCUCUCGGCUCAACCGGGAAACCGCCAUUGAUACUGUUAAUCUUGAGUUCGGUUGAGGUAGGCGGAAUGUGUAAUGUAGCGGUGAAAUGCUUAGAUAUUACACAGAACACCAAUUGCGUAGGCAGCUUACUAGACCGACACUGACGCUGAGGCACGAAAGCGUGGGUAGCGAACAGGAUUAGAUACCCUGGUAGUCC